Molecule: ribosomal RNA, 492 nt
Filed under: Aphelenchoides sp. K1 WY-2008
Lineage: Eukaryota; Metazoa; Nematoda; Chromadorea; Rhabditida; Aphelenchoididae
Description: bacterial SSU rRNA
Rfam family: Eukaryotic small subunit ribosomal RNA
Source: RNAcentral
CGCGAAUAGCUCAUUACAACAGCUAUAAUCUACUUGUUUUUUCCAUUAAACGGAUAACUGCGGUAAUUCUGGAGCCAAUACGUGCCUAAAAGCCGACGUAGUAAUACGGCGGCUGCACUUAUCGGAGCAAAAUCAAUCUUGAUUCAAUGCUAACUCUGGAUAACCAAGCUUAUCGCAUGUCGCAGGACGGCGAAGUAACAUUCGAGUAUCUGCCCUAUCAUCUAUCGUAGGUAGUGUAUUGGACUACCCAGGAGGUAACGGGUAACGGAGAAUCAGGGUUCGACUCCGGAGAGGGAGCCUUAGAAGCGGCUACCAUCGCUAAGGCGAGCAGCAGGCGCGCAACUUAUCCACUGUCCACUAGGACGAGAUAGUGACGAGAAAUAACAAGCUCGUUCUCUUUGAGGUCGAGCAUUGGAAUGGACCGAAUGUAAACGAUUCGGUGAGUACCCACGAGAGGGCAAGUCGGUGCCAGCAGCCGCGGUAAUUCCAGCU